UACGUAGGGUGCAAGCGUUGUCCGGAUUUAUUGGGUCGUAAAGAGCUCGUAGGCGGUCCGUCGCGUCGGCUGUGCAAACCCGGGGCUCAACCCCGGGCCUGCAGUCGAUACGGGCGGACUAGAGUUCGGUAGGGGAGACUGGAAGUUCCUGGUGGUAGCGGUGAAAUGACGCAGAGUAUACAGGAGGAACACCGGUGGCGAAGGCGGGUCUCUGGGCCGAAACUGACGCUGAGGAGCGAAAGCGUGGGGAGCAAACAGG
RNAcentral lists this ribosomal RNA (259 nucleotides) under uncultured bacterium. RNAcentral's name for it is "partial 16S ribosomal RNA". It matches the Rfam family "Bacterial small subunit ribosomal RNA", at positions 524 to 776 of the family's 1533-position model. The record is from RNAcentral.